RNAcentral lists this ribosomal RNA (2787 nucleotides) under Escherichia coli. RNAcentral describes it as "bacterial LSU rRNA". It matches the Rfam family "Bacterial large subunit ribosomal RNA". The record is from RNAcentral. Lineage: Bacteria; Pseudomonadati; Pseudomonadota; Gammaproteobacteria; Enterobacterales; Enterobacteriaceae.
AGCGUACACGGUGGAUGCCCUGGCAGUCAGAGGCGAUGAAGGACGUGCUAAUCUGCGAUAAGCGUCGGUAAGGUGAUAUGAACCGUUAUAACCGGCGAUUUCCGAAUGGGGAAACCCAGUGUGUUUCGACACACUAUCAUUAACUGAAUCCAUAGGUUAAUGAGGCGAACCGGGGGAACUGAAACAUCUAAGUACCCCGAGGAAAAGAAAUCAACCGAGAUUCCCCCAGUAGCGGCGAGCGAACGGGGAGCAGCCCAGAGCCUGAAUCAGUGUGUGUGUUAGUGGAAGCGUCUGGAAAGGCGCGCGAUACAGGGUGACAGCCCCGUACACAAAAAUGCACAUAUUGUGAGCUCGAUGAGUAGGGCGGGACACGUGGUAUCCUGUCUGAAUAUGGGGGGACCAUCCUCCAAGGCUAAAUACUCCUGACUGACCGAUAGUGAACCAGUACCGUGAGGGAAAGGCGAAAAGAACCCCGGCGAGGGGAGUGAAAAAGAACCUGAAACCGUGUACGUACAAGCAGUGGGAGCACGCUUAGGCGUGUGACUGCGUACCUUUUGUAUAAUGGGUCAGCGACUUAUAUUCUGUAGCAAGGUUAACCGAAUAGGGGAGCCGAAGGGAAACCGAGUCUUAACUGGGCGUUAAGUUGCAGGGUAUAGACCCGAAACCCGGUGAUCUAGCCAUGGGCAGGUUGAAGGUUGGGUAACACUAACUGGAGGACCGAACCGACUAAUGUUGAAAAAUUAGCGGAUGACUUGUGGCUGGGGGUGAAAGGCCAAUCAAACCGGGAGAUAGCUGGUUCUCCCCGAAAGCUAUUUAGGUAGCGCCUCGUGAAUUCAUCUCCGGGGGUAGAGCACUGUUUCGGCAAGGGGGUCAUCCCGACUUACCAACCCGAUGCAAACUGCGAAUACCGGAGAAUGUUAUCACGGGAGACACACGGCGGGUGCUAACGUCCGUCGUGAAGAGGGAAACAACCCAGACCGCCAGCUAAGGUCCCAAAGUCAUGGUUAAGUGGGAAACGAUGUGGGAAGGCCCAGACAGCCAGGAUGUUGGCUUAGAAGCAGCCAUCAUUUAAAGAAAGCGUAAUAGCUCACUGGUCGAGUCGGCCUGCGCGGAAGAUGUAACGGGGCUAAACCAUGCACCGAAGCUGCGGCAGCGACGCUUAUGCGUUGUUGGGUAGGGGAGCGUUCUGUAAGCCUGUGAAGGUGUGCUGUGAGGCAUGCUGGAGGUAUCAGAAGUGCGAAUGCUGACAUAAGUAACGAUAAAGCGGGUGAAAAGCCCGCUCGCCGGAAGACCAAGGGUUCCUGUCCAACGUUAAUCGGGGCAGGGUGAGUCGACCCCUAAGGCGAGGCCGAAAGGCGUAGUCGAUGGGAAACAGGUUAAUAUUCCUGUACUUGGUGUUACUGCGAAGGGGGGACGGAGAAGGCUAUGUUGGCCGGGCGACGGUUGUCCCGGUUUAAGCGUGUAGGCUGGUUUUCCAGGCAAAUCCGGAAAAUCAAGGCUGAGGCGUGAUGACGAGGCACUACGGUGCUGAAGCAACAAAUGCCCUGCUUCCAGGAAAAGCCUCUAAGCAUCAGGUAACAUCAAAUCGUACCCCAAACCGACACAGGUGGUCAGGUAGAGAAUACCAAGGCGCUUGAGAGAACUCGGGUGAAGGAACUAGGCAAAAUGGUGCCGUAACUUCGGGAGAAGGCACGCUGAUAUGUAGGUGAAGCGACUUGCUCGUGGAGCUGAAAUCAGUCGAAGAUACCAGCUGGCUGCAACUGUUUAUUAAAAACACAGCACUGUGCAAACACGAAAGUGGACGUAUACGGUGUGACGCCUGCCCGGUGCCGGAAGGUUAAUUGAUGGGGUCAGCGCAAGCGAAGCUCUUGAUCGAAGCCCCGGUAAACGGCGGCCGUAACUAUAACGGUCCUAAGGUAGCGAAAUUCCUUGUCGGGUAAGUUCCGACCUGCACGAAUGGCGUAAUGAUGGCCAGGCUGUCUCCACCCGAGACUCAGUGAAAUUGAACUCGCUGUGAAGAUGCAGUGUACCCGCGGCAAGACGGAAAGACCCCGUGAACCUUUACUAUAGCUUGACACUGAACAUUGAGCCUUGAUGUGUAGGAUAGGUGGGAGGCUUAGAAGUGUGGACGCCAGUCUGCAUGGAGCCGGCCUUGAAAUACCACCCUUUAAUGUUUGAUGUUCUAACGUGGACCCGUAAUCCGGGUUGCGGACAGUGUCUGGUGGGUAGUUUGACUGGGGCGGUCUCCUCCUAAAGAGUAACGGAGGAGCACGAAGGUUGGCUAAUCCUGGUCGGACAUCAGGAGGUUAGUGCAAUGGCAUAAGCCAGCUUGACUGCGAGCGUGACGGCGCGAGCAGGUGCGAAAGCAGGUCAUAGUGAUCCGGUGGUUCUGAAUGGAAGGGCCAUCGCUCAACGGAUAAAAGGUACUCCGGGGAUAACAGGCUGAUACCGCCCAAGAGUUCAUAUCGACGGCGGUGUUUGGCACCUCGAUGUCGGCUCAUCACAUCCUGGGGCUGAAGUAGGUCCCAAGGGUAUGGCUGUUCGCCAUUUAAAGUGGUACGCGAGCUGGGUUUAGAACGUCGUGAGACAGUUCGGUCCCUAUCUGCCGUGGGCGCUGGAGAACUGAGGGGGGCUGCUCCUAGUACGAGAGGACCGGAGUGGACGCAUCACUGGUGUUCGGGUUGUCAUGCCAAUGGCACUGCCCGGUAGCUAAAUGCGGAAGAGAUAAGUGCUGAAAGCAUCUAAGCACGAAACUUGCCCCGAGAUGAGUUCUCCCUGACUCCUUGA